GGAUUCCUUAGUAAUGGCGAAUGAACAGGGAUGAGCUCAACCAUGGAAAUUGAGGCUUCUGGCUUUGAAUUGUAAUCUCAAGAUGUAUUGCUAACGGGGGCGCGGAUGUAAGCCUCUUGGAAAAGAGAAUCAUUGAGGGUGAGAAUCCUGUUUGUCAUCCGCGGUCCUCCGUGCACGGCGUACGUUCUACGAGUCACGUUCCUCGGGAUUGGAGCGCAAACUGGGUGGUAAAUUUCAUCUCAAGCUAAAUAUGGGUUCGAAACCGAUAGCAAACAAGUACCAUGAGGGAAAGAUGAAAAGGACUUUGAAAAGAGAGUUAAAAGUGCCUGAACUUGCUGAAAGGAAAGCGGAUGGAACCAGUGUUGCUUGGUAAGAUUGUURCGCGCUAUGGUGAUUCUUGCUGCGCCAGCGCAAGCGGUGCUGUGGGUUGAAUCUUGUUGCGCGUGAUGCUUCUUGCCUUGUUCGUCACCGUCGGUUUGGGGGUGAGGACAACUCUUGGGACAUGGUAGCUCGCCUCUGGGUGUGUGAACGUGCCUUGUAGAACUCAUUCCCCUAGACUGUCAAUUGAACGUGUGGUCGCGCUGUCGUUCGCUGGCUUGCGCCCGACGAUCGCAAGGUCGUCGCGCCAAGCUAGCCUCGGCACCUUCCGCACAUCGCCAUGGUGACUAAAUGGUUCUAUUCGACCCGUCUUGAAACACGGACCAAGGAGUCUAACAUAUGUGCGAGUUCUUGGGUUUGAAACCUACGUGCGCAAUGAAAGUGAUUACUGAGAAUCUAGCAUCAGCAGCCGACCGAUCAAUUGGGAGAGGUUUGAGCAUGAGCAUAUCUGUUAGGACCCGAAAGAUGGUGAACUAUGCCUGUGAAGGGCGAAGUCUGGGGAAACUCAGAUGGAGGCUCGUAGCGAUACUGACGUGCAAAUCGUUCGUCAUACA
RNAcentral lists this ribosomal RNA (932 nucleotides) under Gymnodinium dorsalisulcum. RNAcentral describes it as "partial large subunit ribosomal RNA". Lineage: Eukaryota; Dinophyceae; Gymnodiniales; Gymnodiniaceae. The record is from RNAcentral.